RNAcentral lists this ribosomal RNA (429 nucleotides) under Actinomycetes bacterium. RNAcentral describes it as "Actinobacteria bacterium partial 16S ribosomal RNA". It matches the Rfam family "Bacterial small subunit ribosomal RNA", at positions 355 to 776 of the family's 1533-position model. Lineage: Bacteria; Bacillati; Actinomycetota; Actinomycetes. The record is from RNAcentral.
UAGGGAAUCUUCCGCAAUGGGCGAAAGCUUGACGGAGCAACGCCGCGUGAGUGAUGAAGGUCUUCGGAUCGUAAAACUCUGUUAUUAGGGAAGAACAAAUGUGUAAGUAACUAUGCACGUCUUGACGGUACCUAAUCAGAAAGCCACGGCUAACUACGUGCCAGCAGCCGCGGUAAUACGUAGGUGGCAAGCGUUAUCCGGAAUUAUUGGGCGUAAAGCGCGCGUAGGCGGUUUUUUAAGUCUGAUGUGAAAGCCCACGGCUCAACCGUAGAGAGUCCUUUGAAACUGGAAAACUUGAGUGCAGAAGACGAAAGUGGAAUUCCAUGUGGAGCGGUGGAAUGCGCGGGGUUAUGGUGGAACACCAGUGGCGAAGGCGACUUUCUGGUCUGUAACUGACGCUGAUGUGCGAAAGCGUGGGGAUCAAACAGG